GGAAGGGAAGAAGGAACACCAGAAGAAGGAAAAUGAAGAGAAGUAACACUAGAAGAAGGCAUAUGAAGUAACACAAGAAGAAGGAAGUUGAAAAGAGUAACACAAGAAGAGGGAAUUUGAAAAGAGUAACACAAGAAGAGGGAAUUUGAAAAGAGUUACACAGAAGAAGGUAUUGAAAGAGUAACACAGAAGAAGGUAUUGAAAAGAGUAACACAGAAGAAGGUAUUGAAAAGAGUAACACAGAAGAAGGUAUUGAAAAGAGUUACACAGAAGAAGGUAUUGAAAAGAGUAACACAGAAGAAGGUAUUGAAAAGAGUAACACAGAAGAAGGUAUUGAAAAGAGUAACACAGAAGAAGGUAUUGAAAAGAGUAACACAGAAGAAGGUAUUGAAAAGAGUUACACAGAAGAAGGUAUUGAAAAGAGUUACACAGAAGAAGGUAUUGAAAAGAGUAACACAGAAGAAGGUAUUGAAAAGAGUUACACAGAAGAAGGAAUUUGAAAAGAGUUACACAGAAGAAGGAAUUUGAAAAGAGUAACACAAGAAGAAGGAAUUUGAAGAGAAAUAACACAAGAAGAAGAAAUGUGAAGUAACACCAGAAGGAAAAUGCAGAGAAGUAACACUAGAAAAAUGAAAAUGGAAAUGAAAAGAAUCAUCCACCUUUCGGCCCAAACCAACAUCACAAAAUUAUGGGCGAGUCUCUUCUGGGAGGAAAGCGGCUCGUUCAGACCCAGGAACACCAGAAAGGAUGAAAGAAACAUCAAGAAAAGGAAAA
Long non-coding RNA from Eriocheir sinensis (Chinese mitten crab), 774 nucleotides. RefSeq lists it as uncharacterized. The transcript is spliced from 2 exons. NCBI's taxonomy places the organism in Eukaryota, Metazoa, Arthropoda, Malacostraca, Decapoda, Varunidae. The record is from RefSeq and is a predicted model, not a curated record.